RNAcentral lists this long non-coding RNA (2732 nucleotides) under Salmo salar (Atlantic salmon). RNAcentral's name for it is "lncRNA (ENSSSAG00000101111.1)". Lineage: Eukaryota; Metazoa; Chordata; Actinopteri; Salmoniformes; Salmonidae. The record is from RNAcentral.
AUUCAUUUCGCAACACCUACGGCUUCCACUAGAUGUCAACGAUCUUUAUAAAGUUGUUUGAAGCGUCUAUGAUAAACAGAGAGCAAAUUAGAAUCCAAGGAAGUUGACAUGUCAUCACUUCAUUUUUUUGCGCCUGCGCAUAAAUCUGAGAAACGUGAGUUUGUCAUCAUUUUUAUCUAGACAUAGGAUAGGUUGUGUGAAAAUAUUACUGAUGUUUAACGUUAAAAAUGGACCAAAAGAUUAAUGCUAAAUAACAUUUGACAUGUUUGAACGAACAUAAAUAGAUUAUUUACUAGGUUUUUUUAGCUUUUCGGCGUGAUUUUACCAGCCCCCCACCACGUUUUGUGGGAGCAUAAUGAACGCUAAGUACUUGGUGUUAUUUGGACAUAAAUUAUGAACUUUGUCAAAAGAAACCACAUUUGUUCCGGACCUGGAAUGCCUUCCGGACCUGGGAUCCUGCCUUCUGAUGGAGAUAAUCAAAGAUAAAUGGCUCAUGAUGCACUGAAGAGGAGCUUUGGAGUGGUUGAUGUGAGGCAGACUGAGGCGUUUGUCCAGUCCACUAAAAAUAACAUGAACAUUGACCGUCAUUUUCUUUUUUCCAGUGAAAACACCUCCUCCAUUUACAUGCUAUGAAUUUUUAAUUCUUCAAUCUGCAAUGAUACGCAGUUUAAUUCAAACACUUAUUCAGUAGGCUUGGUUCUGUAAUUAAUGAUCACUGCAGGGGUUUCUCUUCACCCAGAUCCUAAAUGUAACCAUAAUAGGGUGGCAAGGUGCAUCAUGGGACCUCCUCCAAGUCACAUUACGAAUGUAGGAUCUUAAUUUUAUCACCCUGUUGCAGGAGAACUUUCCUCCAAUGCAGGACAUUUAAAACGUGUAGUGGUUUAAAAAGGCUUCUGAUGUUUGUAUUUUCCACUUGGAAAUUUCAGACUUGAUUUUCCCCUACGAAAAAUAUAUCAACCCCUACAAAAUGUUUUAAGAAUUAUAAACGACAUUAUAAUUCAUAUUUCCUGUUGAUGCAGGAUUAUUUUCCUGCUGUAGUAAACUCGCUCAAAUUAAGAUCAUACAUCUGUACGUGUUCACACUGUUAAGGGUGUGCUGUGUGAUAUUUCAUCUGACUAUUGGGUUACUGUCAGGCACCUGUCAGGCAAAACACCACAGUAAACAAACACAUACAAAUGAAAAAUGACCCUCAACUUCAUUGUCAAAGAUUUUAUGGAUCUAAUUCAAUACAGAGUCAAACAGACGAGCUUGCUGGGGCUAAUUUGAUUAGGAGGGGUGCUAUAUAUAGAGUCGGGACAGGAUGUGGGUACUCAAAUGACAACAAUCAGAAAGCCCACACACACAUACCCUCCUGCAGCCCAGAGUGGUAGAGGUCAUCUUUCACGUGAGCCCCACUGCUACUCUUCAAAGAUCAACUGGACAGGCAGUUUUGUUAAAAUUGGACAGGCAGUUUUAAAAUACAAGAUCAAAGAUGAGUCAAAAAGCAAGCUCUUCAGUGACAUCAUGAAAAGCUUUGUGAUGAUAUUUGCUUGGGUUUCCUGUGAUGAUGUAUUCAAGCCAAGACAGUAAGUGGUAGACUCUAUCCUCCUCUCUGUCUGUCAGCCUUGAGAUGGGCCAUGGAAGUCUUCAAGCCUGGGGGGGCUGCAUAAUCUCAAUCAGUUCGGCAUGCUUAUUGGAGCUGAUCAGAUCCAUGAACAACACAGAGGCAUCAUUUAAUGUCAGUGAAUGACAGAGAUUGAACCAUCCCACUAAGGGCAUUGUGCCGAUUUCAGUCUUAUCAUUUUCAAAAUGGUAGACAUGAUUCAUGCUUCCAAGCUAUCUCUUGCUUUUCAUUUGAAGGGGGCCCGCAUAUUCUCUAAGUAUGGCUGGUCUGUUGCCCUAUGUGGAUGUGUUCAUUCGAAUGAUCUACAUUCAUUUGUUCAGUGAAAAAUAAUGGUCUGUUGAGAAUUGUGAUGAAUAUAAAAAGCUCAGCCUUUCCCCAAACCAUCUUGAAUAUGAAGAGUUUGUCCUUCCAGCUAUUUUUGUAAUAAAAUGUGUAGUAUGCAAGACAGAAAACAACUUGGAUAAAAAAGAAGGAACAACUAUGCAUUAUGCAAAAGCUACUUCCACUGACUAAUGGUGCCCUCUGUGACUCACAGGACGAAACCACCAAGAGGAGGGUGGAAAAAUAUAUUUAUAGACAAAGAUCCUGGGAGAAACUGAACAAAGAAGAAAAAAACUGGGAGGGGUUAGAAUAUUAUUUCCAUGCACCACGUCCCCAUUUUGAUUAAUUUGAGGAGUCAACAGGGAACCCAAAGCUGUGGGCUACAUUGUGUCAGCGUGAGUUGAACUACAUAUCCAUAUAGUAGGUCCACAAGAGUACAAACCCCUCCCACGUGCCGCUCUGGUGUACAGGUAAACCCUGCUAGGGGACAUGAUACUGGACAAGAUAAUACAAGUGCAGAGUAAGACUUAUUUUUAAAAGAGAAAGACAAUUUCUUUUCAUCUUUUUAUUUCGAAGAAGAAAUAUAUUAGAAUAAAGGGGAUUUGUUUUGACGUGUCAUUGUAUUUCUGAUGAGCAGACUUCAAUUACACAAAUAACAUGUCACAUCAGAUGUUUUUUUUGUUGGUCCUAAUGUGUCACAACAGGUGUUUGUUUGUUGGUCCUAAUGUGUCACAUCAGAUGUUUUUUAGUUGGUCUUACUAUGUCACGUCAGAUGGUUUUUUGUUGGUCCUAAUGUGUCACAUCAACA